CGAGUCGGCCGGGCGGUCGCGUUGAUGACUCCCCGGAGUCAUCGCCGAGGAACGUCCGGACUCCACAGGGCAGGGUGGUUGCUAACGGCAACCCGGGGCGACCCGCGGGACAGUGCCACAGAAAACAGACCGCCGCCACGGCUUCCGAGGCGGUAAGGGUGAAACGGUGGGGUAAGAGCCCACCAGCACCCCGGGCGACCGGGGUGGCUCGGUAAACCCCACCCGGAGCAAGGCCAAAAGGGCCUCCGCCGCAAGGCGGGACCUGCGCAGGCGUUCGAGGGCUGCCCGCCCGAGCCUGCGGGUAGGCCGCUCGAGCCCGCCGGCAACGGCGGGCCUAGAUGGAUGACCGCCACCAGCGGCGACAACGCCGCCGGCCACAGAAUCCGGCGUACACGCCGGCUCGCUCA
RNAcentral lists this RNase P RNA (407 nucleotides) under Catenuloplanes niger. RNAcentral's name for it is "RNase P class A". It matches the Rfam family "Bacterial RNase P class A". From Rfam's summary of the family: Ribonuclease P (RNase P) is a ubiquitous endoribonuclease, found in archaea, bacteria and eukarya as well as chloroplasts and mitochondria. Lineage: Bacteria; Bacillati; Actinomycetota; Actinomycetes; Micromonosporales; Micromonosporaceae. RNAcentral also lists the same sequence under 1 other name. The record is from RNAcentral.